Molecule: small nucleolar RNA, 113 nt
Filed under: Mus pahari (shrew mouse)
Lineage: Eukaryota; Metazoa; Chordata; Mammalia; Rodentia; Muridae
Description: small nucleolar RNA, C/D box 89 (MGP_PahariEiJ_G0034656.1)
Rfam family: Small nucleolar RNA SNORD89
About the family: snoRNA HBII-289 belongs to the family of C/D snoRNAs. It is the human orthologue of the mouse MBII-289 and has no identified RNA target.
Source: RNAcentral
GCUGAGGAGUGAUGACAAUAAAAGGCCGAAUUGCAGUGUCUCCAUCAACAGUUGGCUCUCUGUGGGCACACGAUGACAAAACAACCUGAAGCGAGUCACUGUCUGACCUCAGU